AUACGUAGGUGGCAAGCGUUAUCCGGAUUUACUGGGUGUAAAGGGCGUGUAGGCGGGUUUUCAAGUCGGAUGUGAAAAGGCAAGGCUCAACUUUGCUCUGUCAUCCGAAAAUGGAGAUCUUGAGUGUCAGAGGGGAAAGCGGAAUUCCUGGUGGAGCGGUAAAAUGCGUAAAGAUCAGGAGGAACACCGGCGGCGAAGGCGGAUUUCUGGCUGACAACUGACGCUGAGGCGCGAAAGCGUGGGGAGCAAACAGGAUUAGAUGCCCUGGUAGUCCACGCCGUAAACGAUGAAUACUAGGUGUAGGAGGUAUCGACUCCUUCUGUGCCGCAGCUAACGCAUUAAGUAUUCCACCUGGGGAGUACGGCCGCAAGGUUAAAACUCAAGUGAAUUGACGGGG
RNAcentral lists this ribosomal RNA (397 nucleotides) under uncultured bacterium. Its description in RNAcentral is "partial 16S ribosomal RNA". It matches the Rfam family "Bacterial small subunit ribosomal RNA", at positions 523 to 918 of the family's 1533-position model. The record is from RNAcentral.